RNAcentral lists this ribosomal RNA (447 nucleotides) under uncultured bacterium. RNAcentral's name for it is "bacterial SSU rRNA". It matches the Rfam family "Bacterial small subunit ribosomal RNA", at positions 29 to 521 of the family's 1533-position model. The record is from RNAcentral.
AACGAACGCUGGCGGCAGGCCUAACACAUGCAAGUCGAACGCCGUAGCAAUACGGAGUGGCAGACGGGUGAGUAACACGUGGGAACGUACCCUUCGGUUCGGGAUAACUCAGGGAAACUUGAGCUAAUACCGGAUACGUCCGAGAGGAGAAAGAUUUAUCGCCGAGGGAUCGGCCCGCGUCUGAUUAGCUUGUUGGUGAGGUAACGGCUCACCAAGGCGACGAUCAGUAGCUGGUCGAGAGGAUGAUCAGCCACAUUGGGACUGAGACACGGCCCAAACUCCUACGGGAGGCAGCAGUGGGGAAUAUUGGACAAUGGGCGCAAGCCUGAUCCAGCCAUGCCGCGUGAGUGAUGAAGGCCCCUAGGGUUGUAAAGCUCUUUUACCCGGGAAGAUAAUGACUGUACCGGGAGAAUAAGCCCCGGCUAACUUCGUGCCAGCAGCCGCAGU